GUUGGGGGGAUUUUAUUGGUCACAACAUUACAUAAAAUCAUUUAUUAUCAAAGUAACCAUCAAGACAAAAUACAAAUCCCUAGAUUUAAUCAUAUCUAAAUUACAGGUCUUACAACAAGAGUACUAACAUUACGACGUAAUAAGAAAAUUAUAAUAUUCUUUGAAACAUAAUUAUUUUUCAACUUGAGCUUUUAUAAAGAAUUCACAAAUACCAUCAACACACUUUGCAAAUGGAGGAGGCAAUGGCACUGGACAAUCAUCAUCAGAAACGCAUGGAAAGGUAGCUAUAUAGACAAAUAAGAAAAAUGGAUAUUACUCAAAUGUGAACAAAAAAUAUUGUUAUAAGAUAUAUUUGAAAAUUAGAAAAUGAUGUGAAAAAUGACAUACUUGUACUCGUUACAACAAGAAAUUGAGAUAGAAAGAUGAUUAAAGCAUAAACAAACACACGAAUUUGAGACAUAUUUUU
This 466-nucleotide long non-coding RNA is filed under the name Medicago truncatula (barrel medic). Its description in RNAcentral is "lncRNA gene1353". Lineage: Eukaryota; Viridiplantae; Streptophyta; Magnoliopsida; Fabales; Fabaceae. The record is from RNAcentral.